This 253-nucleotide ribosomal RNA is filed under the name uncultured bacterium. RNAcentral's name for it is "partial 16S ribosomal RNA". It matches the Rfam family "Bacterial small subunit ribosomal RNA", at positions 524 to 776 of the family's 1533-position model. The record is from RNAcentral.
UACGGAGGGUGCGAGCGUUGUCCGGAAUCACUGGGCGUAAAGGGCGCGUAGGCGGCGCGGGGAGUCAACGGUGAAAGCUCGGCGCUCAACGCCGAGUCGGCCGUCGAUACUCCCGUGCUCGAGCACUGUAGAGGCAGGUGGAAUUCCGGGUGUAGCGGUGGAAUGCGUAGAGAUCCGGAAGAACACCGGUGGCGAAGGCGGCCUGCUGGGCAGUAGCUGACGCUGAGGCGCGACAGCGUGGGGAGCAAACGGG